This is a long non-coding RNA of Lepidothrix coronata (blue-crowned manakin), 515 nucleotides long. RefSeq lists it as uncharacterized. NCBI's taxonomy places the organism in Eukaryota, Metazoa, Chordata, Aves, Passeriformes, Pipridae. The transcript is spliced from 3 exons. The record is from RefSeq and is a predicted model, not a curated record.
AGGUGUCCCCAACCCCAAAGUGCCACCAAGGCCUGGAGGUGCCACCAGUGCCCCGAGGUGCCACCAGCUCCAAGGCGUCACCAACACCUGGAGGUGUCCCCAACCCUAAAGUGCCACCAAGGCCUGGAGGUGCCACCAGCCCCAAAAUGCCACCAAGGCCUGGAAGUGUCACCAAGGCCUGGAAGUGUCACCAGCCCCAAGAUGCCACCAAGGUCUGGAUGUGCCACCAGUGCCCCGAGGUGUCACCAGCCCCAAGGUGUCCCCAACCCCUGGAGGUGCCCCCAACCCCAAAAUGCCACCAGUGCCUGGAAGUACCACCAAGGCCUGGAGGUGCCACCAGUGCCCCGAGGUGUCACCAGCUCCAAGGUGUCACCAACACCUGGAGGUGUCCCCAACCCCAAAGUGCCACCAAGGCCUGGAGGUGCCACCAGUGCCCCGAGGUGUCACCAGCUCCAAGGUGUCACCAACACCUGGAGGUGCCCCCAACCCCAAAGUGCCACCAAGGCCUGGAGGUG